RNAcentral lists this ribosomal RNA (440 nucleotides) under uncultured bacterium. RNAcentral describes it as "partial 16S ribosomal RNA". It matches the Rfam family "Bacterial small subunit ribosomal RNA", at positions 338 to 795 of the family's 1533-position model. The record is from RNAcentral.
CCUACGGGUGGCAGCAGUGGGGACUAUUGCACAAUGGGGGAAACCCUGAUGCAGCGACGCCGCGUGAGCGAUGAAGGAUUUCGGUAUGUAAAGCUCUAUCAGCAGGGAAGCAAAUGACGGUACCUGACUAAGAAGCCCCGGCUAACUACGUGCCAGCAGCCGCGGUAAUACGUAGGGGGCAGGCGUUAUCCGGAUUUACUGGGUGUAAAGGGAGCGUAGACGGCGAUGCAAGACAGAUGUGAAAGCCCGGGGCUCAACCCCGGGACUGCAGUUGGAACUGUAUAGCUGGAGGGUCGGAGAGGCAGGCGGAAUUCCUAGUGUAGCGGUGAAAGGCGGAGAUAUUAGGAGGAACACCAGUGGCGAAGGCGGCCUGCUGGACGAUGACUGACGUUGAGGCUCGAAAGCGUGGGGAGCAAACAGGAGUAGAUACCCGGGUAGUC